This 64-nucleotide transfer RNA is filed under the name Cyphoderris monstrosa. Its description in RNAcentral is "tRNA-Ile". The record is from RNAcentral. Lineage: Eukaryota; Metazoa; Arthropoda; Insecta; Orthoptera; Prophalangopsidae.
AAUAUAGUGCCUGAUUAAAGGAUUAUCGUGAUAGGAUAAAUCAAGUAAGAAAUUACCUUUAUUA